This 301-nucleotide ribosomal RNA is filed under the name uncultured bacterium. RNAcentral describes it as "partial 16S ribosomal RNA". It matches the Rfam family "Bacterial small subunit ribosomal RNA", at positions 509 to 807 of the family's 1533-position model. The record is from RNAcentral.
CAGUCGCCGCGGGAAUACGAAGGGGGCUAGCGUUGUUCGGAUUUACUGGGCGUAAAGGGCGCGUAGGCGGGCUGAUAAGUCGGGGGUGAAAUCCCAAGGCUCAACCUUGGAACUGCCUUUGAUACUGUUGGUCUUGAGUUCGAGAGAGGUGAGUGGAACUGCGAGUGUAGAGGUGAAAUUCGUAGAUAUUCGCAAGAACACCAGUGGCGAAGGCGGCUCACUGGCUCGAAACUGACGCUGAGGCACGAAAGCGUGGGGAGCGAACAGGAUUAGAUACCCGGGUAGUCCCUGUCUCUUAUAC